This is an unclassified non-coding RNA of Cercocebus atys (sooty mangabey), 101 nucleotides long. It matches the Rfam family "Y RNA". Rfam says of the family: Y RNAs are components of the Ro ribonucleoprotein particle (Ro RNP), in association with Ro60 and La proteins. The Y RNAs and Ro60 and La proteins are well conserved, but the function of the Ro RNP is not known. The record is from Ensembl. Lineage: Eukaryota; Metazoa; Chordata; Mammalia; Primates; Cercopithecidae.
GGUAGGUCCAAGUGCAGUGGUGUUUACAAUUAAUUGCUCACAACCAGUUACAGAUUUCUUGCUCCUUCUCCACUGCCACUGGUUUUUCUGACUAACAUUUA